Amblyraja radiata (thorny skate) is the source of this 236-nucleotide long non-coding RNA. RefSeq lists it as uncharacterized. The transcript has 3 exons. NCBI's taxonomy places the organism in Eukaryota, Metazoa, Chordata, Chondrichthyes, Rajiformes, Rajidae. The record is from RefSeq and is a predicted model, not a curated record.
AUUCAUACCCCUGGGGUGCAAGAUCUGUGGUUCAACAGGUUCAUGGCUUAAAGAACACAGCCAUCAGGUUUGGGACGGCAUUCUUUGGCACAGCAGAAAUCUUUUGAUUUUCUUUGCAGUGUGACAUCGUUGUUAAGCCUGGAGUCAUUGCUUAUCCGUAUUCUUCAUAUUUUAUUUGGUGUUUUGUAUGAGCAGCUGUACUCACAAUAAGUGGUGAUUGUCAAGUCAGAGAUGAU